ACGCAGCGAAAGCUGCGCUAAUACCGCAUACGAUCUAUGGAUGAAAGCGGGGGACCGUAAGGCCUCGCGCGAUUGGAGCGGCCGAUGUCAGAUUAGGUAGUUGGUGGGGUAAAGGCUCACCAAGCCAACGAUCUGUAGCUGGUCUGAGAGGACGACCAGCCACACUGGAACUGAGACACGGUCCAGACUCCUACGGGAGGCAGCAGUGGGGAAUCUUGGACAAUGGGCGCAAGCCUGAUCCAGCAAUGCCGCGUGCAGGAAGAAGGCCUUCGGGUUGUAAACUGCUUUUGUACGGAACGAAACGGUCUGAGUUAAUACCUCGGGCUAAUGACGGCACCGUAAGAAUAAGCACCGGCUAACUACGUGCCAGCAGCCGCGGUAAUACGUAGGGUGCAAGCGUUAAUCGGAAUUACUGGGCGUAAAGCGUGCGCAGGCGGUGAUGUAAGACAGUCGUGAAAUCCCCGGGCUCAACCUGGGAAUUGCGAUUGUGACUGCAUCGCUGGAGUGCGGCAGAGGGGGAUGGAAUUCCGCGUGUAGCAGUGAAAUGCGUAGAUAUGCGGAGGAACACCGAUGGCGAAGGCAAUCCCCUGGGCCUGCACUGACGCUCAUGCACGAAAGCGUGGGGAGCAAACAGGAUUAGAUACCCUGGUAGUCCACGCCCUAAACGAUGUCAACUGGUUGUUGGGUCUCU
Molecule: ribosomal RNA, 691 nt
Filed under: uncultured bacterium
Lineage: Bacteria
Description: bacterial SSU rRNA
Rfam family: Bacterial small subunit ribosomal RNA
Source: RNAcentral